GGCUUUGAAGGGACUGCGGAGGACAUUA
Molecule: ribosomal RNA, 28 nt
Filed under: Veluticeps ambigua
Lineage: Eukaryota; Fungi; Basidiomycota; Agaricomycetes; Gloeophyllales; Gloeophyllaceae
Description: partial 18S ribosomal RNA
Source: RNAcentral